Molecule: ribosomal RNA, 514 nt
Filed under: uncultured bacterium
Lineage: Bacteria
Description: partial 16S ribosomal RNA
Rfam family: Bacterial small subunit ribosomal RNA
Source: RNAcentral
GACGAACGCUGGCGGCGUGCCUAAUACAUGCAAGUCGAGCGAAUUGAUUUGGAGCUUGCUUCUCUGAUGUUAGCGGCGGACGGGUGAGUAACACGUGGGUAACCUACCUAUAAGACUGGGAUAACUCCGGGAAACCGGGGCUAAUACCGGAUAAUAUUUUGAACCGCAUGGUUCGAUAGUGAAAGACGGUUUCGGCUGUCACUUAUAGAUGGACCCGCGCCGUAUUAGCUAGUUGGUAAGGUAACGGCUUACCAAGGCGACGAUACGUAGCCGACCUGAGAGGGUGAUCGGCCACACUGGAACUGAGACACGGUCCAGACUCCUACGGGAGGCAGCAGUAGGGAAUCUUCCGCAAUGGGCGAAAGCCUGACGGAGCAACGCCGCGUGAGUGAUGAAGGUCUUCGGAUCGUAAAACUCUGUUGUUAGGGAAGAACAAAUUUGUUAGUAACUGAACAAGUCUUGACGGUACCUAACCAGAAAGCCACGGCUAACUACGUGCCAGCCGCCGCAGUAA